GACAGAGGGUGCAAACGUUGUUCGGAAUUACUGGGCGUAAAGCGCGUGUAGGCGGCUUUGCAAGUCGGGUGUGAAAUCCCACGGCUCAACCGUGGAAGUGCACUCGAAACUGCGAGGCUAGAGUCCUGGAGAGGAAGGUGGAAUGCUUGGUGUAGAGGUGAAAUUCGUAGAUAUCAAGCGGAACACCGGUGGCGAAGGCGGCCUUCUGGACAGUGACUGACGCUGAGACGCGAAAGCGUGGGGAGCAAACAGG
Molecule: ribosomal RNA, 253 nt
Filed under: uncultured bacterium
Lineage: Bacteria
Description: partial 16S ribosomal RNA
Rfam family: Bacterial small subunit ribosomal RNA
Source: RNAcentral